This is a long non-coding RNA of Dromaius novaehollandiae (emu), 4379 nucleotides long. RefSeq lists it as uncharacterized. NCBI's taxonomy places the organism in Eukaryota, Metazoa, Chordata, Aves, Casuariiformes, Dromaiidae. The record is from RefSeq and is a predicted model, not a curated record. The transcript has 4 exons.
UCAUGUGUGAUGCAGAAGCCCUUUCCCAGGAGACAACUCUUUCUUUUCACUCGCACUUUAGCAUUCACCGAACUAACACCUAAUCAGCUCCAAAUUUUGUUCAGCUGCCACCUUAAUUUGGCUAGAUCAGAAGAAAAGAGGAGCACAAAUAAAAAGGGAAAGAUGAUAAAACUGAAAAUAAGUGAAAAAGGAAGGGAGCAAAGGAACUGAGAAAAGAGAAAGGGAAGAAGGAUGACAGUGGUUCCCCACAAGUGCUGCUGCUGGGAGUGGUAUUUAUGGCGCCAGUGUUUGCCUUUGCCUUUCCUCACUAAACAUCUCUAUGAGCUCUGAAGACCUUCCAGUCCACUCUGCAAGCUACCACUUAUUACAGGUUCUUUUAAACCAAAAGAACUGGCUGCAUUUUCUAUUUUAGUUCACCUCCAACCUGUGCCAAGGGAAUGAAAGCAGGAAUAGAAUGAAGCUUCUACACACCAUUGUGAAUUUUUUUAUAUAUAAAUAUAUAUAUAUAUAAACUGAACAAUAAACAUCUCAAAAUCCCUGCUCUGCCAGCAUGUUCACACAUCUUAUACUGACUGACAUCACCUUUGACAAAAGCCAGUUAGCAGGAAAGGCUUUAAAAACCCUUCUGAAUAAUAUUCCUCACCAGACUUCAGUAAGGCAACGCAAAACAAACCACAACAAAGUUCAGGUGAACUAGGCACAUAUCUUGGUAUCAAUAUUUUCAUGUGGCUAUAAAAAUCCUGUGGGGAUGGCCAGUAGAGUGCACUUCUUUCAGUGGUUUGGAGUGUUUCCUCGGGGGAAAUUUCAUUCUGGCUUUUUUUCUAUUUCGCUAUGAUACCCAAGAAAUUGCUCUGAGGUGUUUCCUUUCCCACAGGCAAAUGGAAAGCUAAAUAUUUUAUAUGAGGAUGAGCACAGUCCUCUGAUGCUGGUUAAUGUACUUUUUUGCAAUUUAAAUGUCACUUAUAUUACCAGCACAAUGGGUCAAUUUUGCCCAAGGGGCGCUGAAGGUGACAGAGUGGUACCAGGGUUAGAAGAGGCUCAGAGUGAGGUAAAUACACUGAAUAAAUGGCAACCAAGGGAAAGGCUUCUCAGGAAAAGGUGAACUCAUCUCACAGCCUGUUUUAAUAUUUUAACGUUUAAUCUGGGUAAGCAAAUGGUAAAAUCAGCUAUAAAUUGUAUGACACAUGCAGGAGCAAUGAAAAGCAAAGUUUGAAGAAACUGAGCCUCACUGACUACAUCAUCAGCCCUUCUCCACAUCCUCACCUAUGCCUGCUAAUCUGGUCAGCCGCGUUUCUUUUCCAUUUUAUAUUUGUAGCCCGUACAAGCUGGGGCAGCAAGAGAAUGAGAAGCAAAUGAAUGAGAAGAGAAGAGUGCUGAAAAGGAAAGUACAAAGGAGAAAUAAAUAUUCCUUCCCUCCCUCUAGAACUGAACUGAGAAAAUCCCUGAGGAUUCCUGGGCAGGAGUAGAUGUAUGCAGGUGGUUGGAAGGAAUUUUGAGGCCGAAGCUGCCAGGGAAGAUGGGGGUGACCUCUUGGCAUAUUGAGUGCUUGAGGGUUGGUAGAGACAGGGAGGGCCCAGUUCAGCCAGUUUGGGCCUCAUGGUUUCUAUAAGAUGAGUCUAGACUUUCACAUGCAUCUAAGAAGCAUGAGGGACAAAGGUAUAAUCUAGGCUGGCUGAGUCUGGAUCUAACUCUCCUUCUUUAUCUACAACACAUUGUGUGUUCUUUGGCUGUCAAGAGACUGUUUUGCUUCCUUGCUGGCACAAUAAAUUGGUGUUCCACAUCACUCAGCAGACCGAGAGAUGCACAUAUUCCGGGUGAGAAACGAGUGAAAGAAGUAGCCGCUAUUUGCUCUGCUUGCCUAUUAGAAGGUAAUAUAUGUGCUGGGGCGCUGGAUUUUAAACUGCCUUCUGAUACGUAUUGUCAGUCAACCAAGGAGAAUGCAAAGUGGAUGUAAAAGACUGUCUCAUUCAGCCGGAAGAGUGUAAACUCUAUAUUCAUACACUUUGCUGAAUGUAGGUGAAUAUGCAAGGUGCAAUGCAACAGUAAAUUGUUCAUGAAAUCUUUAGUCUGCACAGAUCUAAUAUUUAGGGAAUAUAGAAAGGAAAUUAGGUCUCGGUAGGGACUCAGGAAUUAACAGUCACCCCAAAGCUUGAUUUCUGUUUUACUGAUUCUUUCCAGCCUAUCUCCAACUAGAGAAGAUAGUACCAUAUUUUGACUUUAAAGACUGACUUUUAUAUAGGGCUAUUUGUUAAAUAAGAGUUUAUUUCAUUUCAGGGAAUUCAGUGAUACAGUAGCCAUUGCAAUGAAAGCGUAAAAAAUGUUUCUGGGCUGGAAGGAGACGAAUUUAAAGCAAUUGCUGCUCCUUUUUCCUCAGGAAUGCAAUUGUAUAAAUGUGUGAAACUGUCGAAACAUACAGCUUAGGUCUGGAGGUGGGAAAGAGUAUGUUCUUGCCUAGGGAAAUAGAUGUGGCAUAAAUAUUUUUCUCAUGACUGUACCUGUUCCUGUACCAUUGAUUCAUAUUUACCCUUUUAAAUACAUGCAUUCUUUGGAAACUCAAGUAAACAGUGCACCUCAGUUGCCUGAGGGAAGUAUUAACUCCUUAGUCUUCAGUUUGUAUUUUGAAGUCAGGAGCCUAGACAGUGCUGUGUUAGUAUUGCUGUGUUGGUGUUUUAAAAUAUUCUGCAACCAAUGUCCUUCUUCAGGUAAGCAGUAACAAUAAUCAUGCUGCAUCUUGUUCUUCCAAAUUUUCUUCACAAAAAGAAGUCAAAAUCUUUACUUCCAUUUUAUAAUUUAUAGUCAGCCAGAGGUGCAGGGAGACGGAAAAUAAAAUUUCUAGGCCUGACAAUGACACCUCUAGGGAACCUCGGGUGCUUGCUGUCAAUGGCCAGCUCUCUGAACUGUUCCAAUUGCUGGCAAUUUGGUAGUAGGCAUGGUCCUGCCCUGAUGGUCUUGUAGUUAGAUGGCAUAAGUAAGUAUUCAGACCCCCUCCAUAAACUGCCCCGAUAGCAGGAGUAAGAGAGUCUUUGACUCCAGAUCAGUUCUUCACCUGUGAAAGUGGGAAUACACUGCUUUGCCAUAGGAAAGCUGUGAGGACGUAUUCACUAAUGACUGGAGGGGCGCUCUGAGGACCUUCUGUGUACUUAGCUAGAUGGAGAGCAAGUCAGUGGGGCAUGGGGAAAUGACUGUCACAUUUAUCUUCUUCACACCAGCAACUGGGAGUCAUUACCAGGAUCCUAAUACACCAAAGGAUCCUCUGUACAGAGAUGAUCCUCAUUUAUUUGACUACACAUACUUAAAGUGUUGCUUUGUGGUGUAAAGUUACUGGUGCAGAAGGAAGAGUUUGGGCUUAAAUUAUUUUAGAGGCUAUUUAAGUACAAGAGAUUAAAGUUGAUCUGUUCAUUUCCAGUAUCCUCUUUCUCAUUGUACCACAGGGAACCUGUUCCUCUGAGCCAAUCAUCCUUUUCCUUAAGCAUAUAGAGAAAUUAUAUAAGAUAAUUAUAUCUCAGGGCACCUUAAUUGUCCCAAUUAGCUGGCCAGUUUUGACAGUCAGAUCUGAUGUAGAGAGAGAGGGAAGAGCUCUGCAGACAUAUGACAACAUUUCAUGUGAUGCUUGGACAAUACUCAAUGGCACAGCUAUAAUAAUCAAAGUAUCUGUGUUUAGAAGUAUACUACAUGCCAUAUAAAGACAUGGAGAGAAAAAAAGCCUCAGUGUAUUUUAAGAUAUCUUUUAUCCAGUCAGCCUUCUGCAUGAGAUAUACAGCAUUAGCACUAAAUCAAUUAUAAUUAAACUGCAUGUAACCAAAAUUGGCAAAUUCAAUUUCCCCCACAUUUCAUUACAGCUUAGCCGCUAUAAUGAUAAAUUGAAUUAAGCUACCUUCCACAAUAUCUUCCAGGUAUAACCAUUAUCAAAUAUAAUUUUACUUCUCACUUUUUUGGAUGAAAAUUAAACAAUAUAUAAUUGCCCCAGAUCACUGAAGAGGUUACUCAUUCUGAUAUGAUAGAAAAUAUAUAUUAAAAAAAAAAGCCAUCAUGCUGUUGUGCACAGAUGUUAAAGACAUUUCUGUUUUGUAGAUAUAAUGGACAUUCUUUAGUGUUAAAAGAUGAAAGUCAAAUAUCUGAAAUUACAAGUGUUACUCUAUCUUGAAUCAAAAGAAAAAGGUAAAAGUGAAGUAACUUCUCCUCCCUGAGACUUUUGAAAAUGAAGCAAUUAGCCUCUUUUCUACGAAAGCUCUGGUGUCAGUAUGAUUUCAAGAACAUGAUUAAAGUUGAGCACACCCUUAAAUACUGUAUUGUAGAUGUGUCUUUUUGUACUGAGGUCAUGGUUAAAUGUCUAUAUAUAGAGGCCUUCUACUUUUUCUGUCUGAAACGCUGUUACACCU